Long non-coding RNA from Thunnus maccoyii (southern bluefin tuna), 1762 nucleotides. RefSeq lists it as uncharacterized. The record is from RefSeq and is a predicted model, not a curated record. NCBI's taxonomy places the organism in Eukaryota, Metazoa, Chordata, Actinopteri, Scombriformes, Scombridae. The transcript is spliced from 3 exons.
UCCAAUCCUCAGUGCAAAAGAUGAGCAACUGUGUUAGAAAAUAUGUGGUUCUUGGAUAAAACAUUUAAAAAAGUCAAAGGUACAAUAUGAGGAGGGAAGGAAACUACAACGCCCACGAAUCACUUUGACUUUUCCUGAGCUGCAUGCAACCAACUAGCUGGCUGGCUGUUCAGACAAUGUAACACUAAGGCUACAACAAUGGCUGAAGAAAUAUUUUAAUGUGUUAUUUUAAAAAAAGCAAGAAUUGAGGAAGAAGAUAUGCCACUGCCUCCAUCGACUGAGUCCACUAGACACAUCAGCCCACAACGAGUUUUCCUGGAGGUGGAGUGGCAUGCCUCGGAUGCUUGCGGGUGGCGCUGACAGAAUUUGAAGUGGGUCGUCCACUAACCUCAGCCCCCUGGAGUACGGUGGGUCUGGUCCAGAGAGCGGAAGGAAGCGGUGUCCUGCUGAGACACCGAGUCUGGUCUGGAGGUAAUGGGCAGAAGGGAAAAAGAGCCUUGCCUGUGGCAUGGCACAAAAUGAAUUACUGCCAUCUUUCUGCUCCUCUGCCUCACAGUGAGAGUAGAGUCUGGAGGGCCAGAUAACAAGGGCACAGAACCACAAACUAAAGCAAAAUGGAGAACUGCCCAAGAAAAAAAAAAUAAUAAAGCUGUCUGGCAGAGUUAAUAUCAUGUCAUUUAUGAUGAUUUGGCUGAACGUUUGAUGAGGUCAUUCUCAUUUCAGUGUUAAUGUCAGCCCAGACAGUGGAGCAGGGUGGUGGCAAUGACUGGAACAUUUUCUUUUAUUCCUUAGCUCCCACUCUUCUCCUUUAGAGUAUCGGGACAUGGUAUGAAUCUUUUUUUCCAGUGGUGUGUUACAACACUCUUGGACUGGAGUGAUAAGACUGUCAUAUGCUAAAAAUGCUCCACAAAGCAGACAGAAUGGGAUGCAGGAUGAUCAUGAUUAUGAUGAAGCCUAGUCGUGAAAGAUGUAUGACAUACACAGACUGCGUGUCAUACAUCUUUCUCGUGAAGGGGUCUGGAAGCAGAUUUAUUUUCCUGCCUUUCAUACAAGGAUGUUCAAGUAAAUAAAUGACAAAGCCACCAAGUUAAACAAUUAUUCUGCUACAUUCUCUCUUAAUGUGUCAAAGGUCUGGAAAAAUAGAUGCUGCUUUGUUAUCCUCACACUGUAAGUACAGAUAAUAAAUCAGCGACUCCUGCAGCAACCUGUCACCUGCAAUUUAUAGACCGGACUCAAUAUUUCAUAUGCAUCAGUGUUUUUUUCCCUUUCCACCAUGCAUGUGCACACGGGUUUCUACAGCAUCUGUGGGGUGAUCCAAGUAAUUUCCUAUAAACAUGAUUUAAAUUUCCUCAGGGAUCAAUACUCCACCAUCAUGAAUCUUGUGCUCUUUGAUGCUCGUUUGGCCUACACGGGUGAAGUCUCCUGCCCACCGGGUUUGUAUGUUGUGGUUACCGUGGUCAGGGGGAGGAUGUAAGACGAUAUGUCCAACCUUAAGAGCAUCCUGAAGAGGAAGUACUCACUAAUAUGGCCGAUCGAUAAAAGAAGGUUCAUCUUGCCUUUGCCAAACUCAUGGUUAAGCAUUUUCGCUUGUAGACUUUUUAAUACAUACUGCAUCUUCCACUAAAUUUAAUUUACGUCAGCAAAACUACAGAGAACCAGUGAAUCAGCAGAGACCUUUUCAUCAAAUCCAAUCUGAAUAUGUUUAGAUGGGACAUGACUAGACCAUGUAAAAAAAGAAAGCAGAAAAAUGGGUGCAUAAUUA